This 497-nucleotide ribosomal RNA is filed under the name uncultured bacterium. RNAcentral's name for it is "partial 16S ribosomal RNA". It matches the Rfam family "Bacterial small subunit ribosomal RNA", at positions 28 to 507 of the family's 1533-position model. The record is from RNAcentral.
GAUGAACGCUGGCGGCGUGCCUAAUACAUGCAAGUCGAGCGAACAGACGAGGAGCUUGCUCCUCUGACGUUAGCGGCGGACGGGGGAGUAACACGUGGAUAACCUACCUAUAAGACUGGGAUAACUUCGGGAAACCGGAGCUAAUACCGGAUAAUAUAUUGAACCGCAUGGUUCAAUAGUGAAAGACGGUUUUGCUGUCACUUAUAGAUGGAUCCGCGCCGCAUUAGCUAGUUGGUAAGGUAACGGCUUACCAAGGCAACGAUGCGUAGCCGACCUGAGAGGGUGAUCGGCCACACUGGAACUGAGACGCGGUCCAGACUCCUACGGGAGGCAGCAGUAGCGAAUCUUCCGCAAUGGGCGAAAGCUUGACGGAGCAACGCCGCGUGAGUGAUGAAGGUCUUCGGAUCGUAAAACUCUGUUAUUAGGGAAGAACAAAUGUGUAAGUAACUAUGCACGUCUUGACGGUACCUAAUCAGAAAGCCACGGCUAACUACGUG